AUGGAUGUAACUGUUACCUUUGUACAGCAGGCUAAGAUGCAGCCGUAGGAACGCCAGAGGUUUCUACAUCUACCCAUCUCUAUCCGUGACCAACCAUUUGCCUCUGAGAAACCCACAAGCAGGACUUGAAAGCAGUAGCUACCAUCUCCUGCUGUAUCUCCCAUGCUGUCUCUGAUCCUGGAUGAAAUACUGUAUGCAGCCAACAACAUCGUUAUGACUAAUUCAGCAACGUAUUGCUUCAGGUCCUGUGGCAAGCAGGGAAGAGCUGACCCAACUUCCACCAUAACCUCUGUAUGUGAAACAGCCAGCAAAGAUUUUAUGGUUCCAUUUACCAUAUUUCUUUAUCACGCACCACCUUGAGAAAUGACGAAAUAAAUGAUGUUGCAUUCCGA
Podarcis raffonei (Aeolian wall lizard) is the source of this 392-nucleotide long non-coding RNA. RefSeq lists it as uncharacterized. NCBI's taxonomy places the organism in Eukaryota, Metazoa, Chordata, Lepidosauria, Squamata, Lacertidae. The transcript has 2 exons. The record is from RefSeq and is a predicted model, not a curated record.